This 526-nucleotide ribosomal RNA is filed under the name Streptococcus suis. RNAcentral describes it as "bacterial SSU rRNA". It matches the Rfam family "Bacterial small subunit ribosomal RNA", at positions 69 to 588 of the family's 1533-position model. Lineage: Bacteria; Bacillati; Bacillota; Bacilli; Lactobacillales; Streptococcaceae. The record is from RNAcentral.
CAGGAAGCAGCUUGCUGCUUUGCUGACGAGUGGCGGACGGGUGAGUAAUGUCUGGGAAACUGCCUGAUGGAGGGGGAUAACUACUGGAAACGGUAGCUAAUACCGCAUAACGUCGCAAGACCAAAGAGGGGGACCUUCGGGCCUCUUGCCAUCGGAUGUGCCCAGAUGGGAUUAGCUAGUAGGUGGGGUAACGGCUCACCUAGGCGACGAUCCCUAGCUGGUCUGAGAGGAUGACCAGCCACACUGGAACUGAGACACGGUCCAGACUCCUACGGGAGGCAGCAGUGGGGAAUAUUGCACAAUGGGCGCAAGCCUGAUGCAGCCAUGCCGCGUGUAUGAAGAAGGCCUUCGGGUUGUAAAGUACUUUCAGCGGGGAGGAAGGCGACAGGGUUAAUAACCCUGUCGAUUGACGUUACCCGCAGAAGAAGCACCGGCUAACUCCGUGCCAGCAGCCGCGGUAAUACGGAGGGUGCAAGCGUUAAUCGGAAUUACUGGGCGUAAAGCGCACGCAGGCGGUCUGUCAAGU